AAAGUCGUAACAAGGUUUCCGUAGGUGAACCUGCGGAAGGAUCAUUACAAAUCUUUGUUAGCUCUGGUGGCCGCAAGGCUGCCUGGGCCGACACAUUGGCACACAACGCGCACGAGGUCGUAAGGUCUUGUUGCCGUUGUUGUUGUUUACGCUUGUAUGUUUGACAGAUAUUAAUGUUGGAAAAUAAUAGACAACUUUUAACAAUGGAUCUCUUGGCUCUU
RNAcentral lists this unclassified non-coding RNA (221 nucleotides) under Rozellomycota sp. RNAcentral's name for it is "Cryptomycota sp. partial contains small subunit ribosomal RNA, internal transcribed spacer 1, and 5.8S ribosomal RNA". The stretch from base 1 to 47 matches the Rfam family "Eukaryotic small subunit ribosomal RNA", at positions 1785 to 1831 of the family's 1831-position model. The record is from RNAcentral. Lineage: Eukaryota; Fungi; Rozellomycota.